UCAGCUAUUUUCAAAUUUCAAAUUUACUUCUUUAUGGAUAAGCAUUGGUAAAAGUAUAGACGACUUUAAUAGUAUAUCUUGCAAAGUUUCAGGCUGUGUCCUUUAAAUAUUCAAUACAAAAACAGCAGUGCACAAAUAUCAUAUUCUCCUCUGCUAAUUGUUAGCGAAUUGUCAAUAAGCUCUGGUAAUCCAAUUGAUCGAAGGAGUGGCGUUGGAAAUGGGCACAUGAUGAGUGCGAUUGUGGUUUUAGUAAGUCUAGUACCGCUGUCGCAAAUGACUCCGAAAAGUCACAUGAUGUGUAAAUGUGAGUUCGCUUUAGUACCGCGAUAGGUGUCUCAUAUGACCCAAUCAUUCUUGCUGUCGAUCCUAAUUAUUGGGCCACGUCAGAAUUUUUAAUCCUUACGAAACUUAUAAGGCUUGAGCAGAUAAUCCGAGCUGAAUUUGAAUCUGUGCUUAAAGUAUGAUUAUCUAAGACGAAUUUAUAAAAGAUAUUAUCGCUAAGCUACACAGUUUUAUUGCGCUGACUAAUUGCAAUUACAAACAAUAACCUUUCGCAUGACAGUGAGUUGCUAUUUGAUUGAAGUAGCUUAUUCGGUUAUUUAACAACAGUUUUCGUAGCAUAAAACAAAUUGUAUAAUU
Molecule: long non-coding RNA, 639 nt
Organism: Bactrocera oleae (olive fruit fly)
Lineage: Eukaryota; Metazoa; Arthropoda; Insecta; Diptera; Tephritidae
Source: RefSeq, a predicted model, not a curated record